UACGAAGGGUGCAAACGUUGCUCGGAAUUAUUGGGCGUAAAGCGCACGUGGGCGGUUUGGAAAGUCGGAUGUGAAAUCCCUCAGCUCAACUGAGGAAGUGCAUCCGAAACCUCCAGACUUGAGUACUAAAGAGGAUCGCGGAAUUCCCGGUGUAGAGGUGAAAUUCGUAGAUAUCAGGAGGAACACCAAUGGCGAAGGCAGCUCGCUGGGACGGUACUGACGCUGAGACGCGAAAGCGUGGGGAGCAAACAGG
This 253-nucleotide ribosomal RNA is filed under the name uncultured bacterium. RNAcentral's name for it is "partial 16S ribosomal RNA". It matches the Rfam family "Bacterial small subunit ribosomal RNA", at positions 524 to 776 of the family's 1533-position model. The record is from RNAcentral.